Rhincodon typus (whale shark) is the source of this 452-nucleotide long non-coding RNA. RefSeq lists it as uncharacterized. The record is from RefSeq and is a predicted model, not a curated record. The transcript has 3 exons. Lineage: Eukaryota; Metazoa; Chordata; Chondrichthyes; Orectolobiformes; Rhincodontidae.
UAGAACCGCCAAAAGUGACCAUCAGCUAAGAUCGACGGUUGAGUUUGAACACCCAGAAUGUGACACUCACAUGCAAGCCUACCAGAAGGGAGACAAGAAAUGCCAAAGUGUUCAUCGGGGAGUUGAGCCGCUUGAUGAACAUAAGCUGGACUUGUGAGGUUACUAACUCGAUUGGGACAGGAAUCGGCCAAUUGGAAAACCUUUUACAUUGUGACGAUGCAGGUCAUUCCCAUAGCAAGUUCAACAUUCCAUGUGCGGCAGUGGGAGCGCUGAUCAUACCUCUUGUUGCAUUGCUUGUGGCAUUGCUCGUUAUUCUACUCAUCAAGAAACAACGCAAUUCAGCAGGUAAAUAAUUUGACACUGAAAAGUAGAAGUCUUUUCUUGGACAGCUACAGGUAUUUCAACACAUUACAGGUGUUAGAUAAUGCAGCUGACACCAAAGUCGGUGGAGU